Small nuclear RNA from Hyaena hyaena (striped hyena), 105 nucleotides. The record is from RefSeq and is a predicted model, not a curated record. NCBI's taxonomy places the organism in Eukaryota, Metazoa, Chordata, Mammalia, Carnivora, Hyaenidae.
CGCUCACUUCGGUAGCUGUAUAGUAAUAUUAGACUGAUACAGAGAAGAUUAGCUUGGCCCCUGAACAAAGAUGGUGCACAAGUUCAUGAAGCAUUCCAUAUUAUC